CAAAGAGCGCGUAUCUGUAUAAUGUACGGUAAAAGGGCUAUUUUGCAUUUUUUGCCGAUUCGCACACAUUGGAAUUUCGCUAACUCCUCCUAAGGCUUUCGUCCCACUGACACCAAAUUUGCUCAGGCCAAUCUACACUCCAUGGCCAUUCAAAGUUGUAAAAAUCAUGACGCUGCACCCCACGGUUUACGUUUUAGGGGGCGCCAAAGAUGACCCAAAUAUACAUUACAGUAGACAAAGUAGUUUUGCCCACUGAGUGGCGCCAAAGGGACUUGUCUGUGGAGUCUGUGAGUCACUAUUGGCCGUUUUUGACUACUUUAGAUUUUACCUUUAUAUUUCCUCUUACAAAAUUUUUACCUUGCCUUGCCUGGUAUCAUUUUUUUCAGCACAACCUCACCUGUGUCAAUUUACAGUUAUUUUACCAUUUUGACAUACUAUAUUUACACAUUGGACCCAAAUUCACACACAAAACAUAAAAUCCGAGUGGAAAAAAGUAACGUUUUUACUGUGAAAACCACAAAUAUGUGUGAUGAACUGUUUUUAAAACUUAAACUUCAAAUAAAAAUUGUAAACUUCAAAACAUAUGCAAAUUUUUAACAAAGAACAUAGUAAUUUACCUCUAUUGACAUCAAAAUGCAGGCAAUGGCCCAGGUGUUCUUUGUAAAAUUAUUUACAAAACACUGUAUAGUCUCACAAAUGUCACUUUUUAUUUAUGCCACUACAAAAAAACAUGAUGUAAAUGAUGCAUGAUGUAAAACAUGAUGUAAAAAACUUGUGUAGAUCCUCCUCUAUGUUAGUCCAUGUGUAAUUUUUCCAUAAUUCUUUGUUUUUUGCAGCAUUUUUGUUAGUGUAACUGCAGAUUGUGCUGACAGUGUCUAUGGCAAAAAAAAAAAAAAAAACUGAAAAUGCCUCAACAUGAACCCCUGGUGGUCUCUGAAGGUGAAACCUGCUAACUGCUGCAGCUCUGUCAGCUUCAGUCUCCCAUGCAGAGCUCGGAGCGCAUGUGUGGCUCUGCACCCUUAGCAGCGUUGCUAACUCCUCAGUAAGGAAAGCCUGCUUCAUGUCAGAGUCUCUAAACUCCAGAAGAAGUCGAUAAAAGUCACUUUCUUUCUAAAAAAAAGUCGUUAGGGGGUCUGAAAAGUCAUUGAAUCUAACAACAAAGUCGCUAGGUUUGCAACUACGUGUCCCAGACUGCAUCCCUGCUGAGAGUCCCUCCCUCCCUUCUCAUAUUGCAGGAAGAACGUAAGUUCCCGCCCCUUGUCAAUCAGUCACCAUAUAAUUUUGGAUUGGUUGUUGUGGUGAAGUUUUCCACCAAUAGGAGAGAUGUUGUGGUGUGUAUUUUUUUCCUUUGGCAAGCCUUUUCCGCCUGUAAGACCUGUCGCUAAUGUCUGCAUGCUAUGUUUUCCUGUCUCAUACAGCGCGAUCGAGCGCCGAACGUGAUCAAAAUAAGCAGAAAACAAGUAUCGCGGACAUAAUUUAUCAUAACUCUGGUUUUAUUUGGCCUAUCAACACAAUUUAAAAACUGGUAUAUAGGUUGAGGUCCUCACUUUUGAGAUAAAUUGAAACGGAGAGUCAACGAGGCUCCGUCUUGCAGCUACAUCCGGUUAAAUAUGUCAUGUGACUUGAACGCACACACACACACACACACAGACACACACACACGCACACACACACACUCAGAGUCUGGUUUGUAGCACCUGCAAAAACAUGCUAUUUACAUAUUUGACAAGAAUGCAGAGGCUCCUUUUGCCCCUGAAAAAAAUCAAAUUUCAAACACAACUUGACUGGUCAUUUCUCCAAAAGACAACCAUGAAGCUCCAUCCAAACCUGAAGCAGGCAGUUGGUGCAUGUGUACAGUAACCUGAGGGGAGUGAGGUGACUGCUUCUGAGGAGAACAUGAGCAGUGAAGAUUUACCUUAGAGCUAGAACAGAGACGUGCACAUGAUUAUACAGGGGCAGGGGCUCAAGUUUUUUCCAGUCGUUUAUACAAUUUGGAAAUUAAUGUGAAAUUAAAAAACAAAGUAUUAAUAGAAAGGUAAUGACUGUCCUGUGUAGGUGACAGUGAUAUCCAAUAGGCUAGGCACUCACGAGGCUGGCUGUGGCAAGUGUAAGUGAAAGCAACACGCACUGGCAGGAAGAACAGCAAACGCCGAUGAAGGAAAAGGGUCUUUGCAGUGAUGGGCGUUACCAAAGAGGGCGAUGGCCAGAGGACACAAAUGGGACGGGGAGGCAGCGCGUUGGGGGGGGGACGCGACACAGCUCGGGCCCGCCAGUGCCCCAACGGGGUCCUAGUUAGGGCCCGAGCGUAGCUGCUAAGCAGCUGCGAGAGCCCUCUUGUUCCUGUAGUUUCCUUCUUUUGUUAUUAUUAUUAUUAUUUUUCCUCCCCUUUGAACUGGAAAAUGGCCCACUUCCCACUGGCGAAAACUCAUGAAAUUUGGCAGGACGACCGGGCCUGGUGAAAAAUUUGAUAUUCCGAAGUCGCCCAAACAAGAAAAUGCAAAAUGGCUCCAUAGCGCCCCCUAAGGUGAAAAUUCACACUAUUCACUGUCACGCCUGUACGCUUUGUCAAAAUGACACAAAAAUUGACACACACAUGUAUCUCAAUAAGAUCUACAAAAAAGUCAGUGCGGGCAUAUCUGUCAAAUGUACGGUUAAAGGGUUAUUGCGCAUUUUUUGCCGAUCCGCACACAUUGGAAUUUCGCUAACUCCUCCGAAGGCUUUCGUUCCACCGGCACCACAUUUGCUCAGGCCAAUCUACACCCCAUGGCCAUUAAAAGUUAUUCAAAUCAUGACGCUGCACCCCACGGUUUAGGUUCUAGGGGGCGCCAAAGAUAACCCUAAAAUCCACAUAUUUCAAAGUCUUAUAACUUUUUAUUUUUGCCCUCACUGGCCUCCAAGUUUUCUAGGAUGAUGCAAUGUCCAGCCAUCAACACAUUUGUGAAGGAAUUUUUACUCCCCAAAAGAGCGCCCCCCCAUGGCAGGAGAAAAAAGUCCAUUUUUUCUUGUCCCAUAAGGUGAAAAUUCACACUAUUGACUGUCACGCCUGUACGCUUUGUCAAAAUUACACAAAAAUUGACACACACAUGUAUCUCAAUAAGAUCUACAAAAAAGUCAGUGCUGGCGUAUCUGUCAAAUGUACGGUUAAAGGGUUAUUGCGCAUUUUUUGCCGAUCCGCACACAUUGGAAUUUCGCUAACUCCUCCGAAGGCUUUCGUUCCACCGGCACCACAUUUGCUCAGGCCAAUCUACACCCCAUGGCCAUUAAAAGUUAUUCAAAUCAUGACGCUGCACCCCACGGUUUAGGUUCUAGGGGGCGCCAAAGAUAACCCUAAAAUCCACAUAUUUCAAAGUCUUAUAACUUUUUAUUUUUGUCCUCUCUGGCCUCCAAGUUUUCUAGGAUGAUGCAAUGUCCAGCCAUCAACACAUUUGUGAAGGAAUUUUUACUCCCCAAAAGAGCGCCCCCCCAUGGCAGGAGAAAAAAGUCAAUUUUUUCUUGUCCCAUAAGGUGAAAAUACACAUUGUUGACUGUCAUACCUGUAUGCUUUGUCAUAUUGACACAAAAUUUGACACACACAUGUAUCUCAAUAAGAUCUACGAAAAAGUCAAUGCGCGCGUAUCUGUAAAAUGUACGGUUAAAGGGCUAUUUUGCAUUUUUGCCGAUUAGCACACAUUGGAAUGUGGCUAACUCCUCCUAAGGCUUUCGUCCCACUGACACCAAAUUUGCUCAGGCCAAUCUACACCCCAUGGCCAUUCAAAGUUUUAAAAAUCAUGACGCUGCACCCCACGGUUUAGGUUCUAGGGGGCGCCAAAAAUGACCCAAAUAUCCACAUUCUUAAAAGAAUCCACAUCCCCCCCCCCCCCCCCCCAUCCCCCAUCC
Molecule: long non-coding RNA, 3876 nt
Filed under: Xyrichtys novacula (pearly razorfish)
Lineage: Eukaryota; Metazoa; Chordata; Actinopteri; Labriformes; Labridae
Source: RNAcentral